GCUGUCGUAGCUUAACCGAAGCAUAUCACUGAAGAUGUUAAGAUGGCCACUAACCCGGCCCGAGAGCA
This 68-nucleotide transfer RNA is filed under the name Rachycentron canadum (cobia). RNAcentral's name for it is "tRNA-Phe". Lineage: Eukaryota; Metazoa; Chordata; Actinopteri; Carangiformes; Rachycentridae. The record is from RNAcentral.